Molecule: long non-coding RNA, 1885 nt
Filed under: Coffea arabica (coffee)
Lineage: Eukaryota; Viridiplantae; Streptophyta; Magnoliopsida; Gentianales; Rubiaceae
Description: long non-coding RNA (CARA_LNC002978)
Source: RNAcentral
UACCCGUCAUAUAAUCCUGUAAUAAAAAAGUUAAUAGAGGGUCAAACAAUGUAAAAUAAUUUGGAAAAUGUCAUUUUAUAACCCCAAAAAAUGGCCUAAAAUAAGCUUCCAGCAUCAGGAAAGAUACCGAGGGAAUAAUUACAUUAAACAUCAGACUCAAUUCUAAGCACAACUUUUCAGCUGAGCAUUGUCCACACUUUUGCGUAUCAAUUCAAGUAGCUCUUCCUCCAUUUCCUCCUUUUCACGACUCAUUUCUUUGACUUCUUCCUCCAUUGCCUCCCUGCAAGCAGACUAAUUACAUUACAACUUUUACAUUGUAAUAAACCUCGUCAUUUUCUUCUCUUCCUGACAAGGAGUGAAAAAGUUGCUGGCACAAAAUUAUUUAAGAGUUCGCCAAGAAAACAGAAUAAGAUGCAUAAACUCAGUAACCCACUCACAAGUUCUACUGGAACCCUUGUAUACAACUAAUUGAUAUAAUGAAGGAAGUCAACUUGACUGGAAGAUAAGUGAAUAGAAGGAAGUCUGGAGAAGAAGGGUUAAUACCACUUUGUCCCCCCAAACUUUGGACGAUUACCCACUUCAGUCCCUAAACUUCAAAAUGGGACACUUAAGUCCCUAAACUUAUAAAUAACUCCCACUUAAGGAAAAUUGUUAACAAAUCUUGAAUAUCGUUGGUGGUCGAAGUGUUCCAUUUUAUAAGAGUUUAGGGAUUUAAGUGUCCCAUUUUAUAAGUUUAGGAACUUAAGUGGGAGGUAUUUAUAAGUUCAGGGACUUAAGUGUCUCAUUUUGAAGUUUAGGGACUGAAGUGGGUAAUCGUCUAAAGUUUGGAGGGACAAAGUGGAAUUAACCCGGAGAAGAACUAGGAAGGAGAAACAAUAUUUUAGGCAGGAACACUUCUUAUAAGAUCGAUCCCUUCACAACUACUGUGUGUGUGUGUACUUGUGUGUGGGAGAGAGAAGAGAGGGAGAACUGAGAAGAAAGCAAGAAACGCCUACACAUUUAAUAAGAGGCCAAUAUAAAAGACACCUACAUAGACCCAAAUUUGGGGCAAUCGCUACUAAACAGUUUAAGUCCUUUUCAACAGAUUGUAAUUGAGUUCAAAUUAAAUAACAUGCAUUAUAUUGAAACAAAAAUGAUAGUUGAAUACGUUCAUGUAGACUCAUCCAUUUCAAUAAUGCAUGAUAUUAGAUGAGACUUAUAUCAUGGUUCAAAGGAAUGGUUGCGGUCGUGGUCAGAGCAACCACUAUUCUGUGCCAGUCACGGCAAAAUCGUUACAAUUCAGAGAUGUAUAGUUGCUAUAUUAAGGGAGGUAGGGUUGGAUUGGGUGAAAUUGGACAAGGAGUAUAAGUGAGAGGUCUUAGAUUCAAGAUCCCCUACUUACACUAAAAAAAUAUAAAAAAUUAAAGAAUAGUUGCUAUAUAAAUUAUUCAUUAAAAAAUACAUAAUUUGUCUUAAAAUUCAUUCUCUAUCCUUGUUAUAGAAACAACAUUAUGAACUCACAACAAAAUACAUUUGUAUCCCAUCAUGGAACAGUUCUAUUUUUUAAAAAUUUGAGAAAAUAAAGAUUUUGUUUGUAUUUUUUUUUAUUUUUCACCCUUAUUGUGGACUGUAAGAUUAUAAAUUGAUAUUUCACUAACCAUUACGUAUUUCAAACUACAAUAAACAUUGAUUUCAAUAUACUAAAUAUUCUUAUGCAUUUCUAUUCAAAAUUGUAAGAAAGAGCUCAUUGGUUAGAUUUUAAAACAUUUAAAAUUCUAAAAUAACAUUCUAAGAAGUUUUGGUUUUCAAAGUUGGGUUAAAAAAUAAGAAGCAUGAAAUUACCUAUGAAGUUUUUAAAACUUCCAAGUAGCUUAGGGAAUAAUUUAAAUUUUAGAUUAGAGAUACU